This 524-nucleotide ribosomal RNA is filed under the name uncultured bacterium. RNAcentral's name for it is "partial 16S ribosomal RNA". It matches the Rfam family "Bacterial small subunit ribosomal RNA", at positions 28 to 523 of the family's 1533-position model. The record is from RNAcentral.
GACGAACGCUGGCGGCGUGCUUAACACAUGCAAGUCGAACGGACAGACAGAGAGCUUGCUCUCUUGAAGUUAGUGGCAAACGGGUGAGUAACGCGUAAUCAACCUGCCCUUCAGAGGGGGAUAACAACGGGAAACCGUUGCUAAUACCGCGUACGAUUCAUGAACGGCAUCGUUUAUGAAUGAAAGGUGGCCUCUAUGUAUAAGCUAUCGCUGAAGGUGGGGAUUGCGUCUGAUUAGCUAGUUGGAGGGGUAACGGCCCACCAAGGCAAUGAUCAGUAGCCGGUCUGAGAGGAUGAACGGCCACAUUGGGACUGAGACACGGCCCAAACUCCUACGGGAGGCAGCAGUGGGGAAUCUUCCGCAAUGGACGAAAGUCUGACGGAGCAACGCCGCGUGAGGGAUGAAGGUCUUCGGAUUGUAAAGCUCUGUUAAUCGGGACGAAAGAGUUCUGCGUGAAUAAUGCAGAAAAGUGACGGUACCGGAAUAGAAAGCCACGGCUAACUACGUGCCAGCCGCCGCCGUAA